This 452-nucleotide ribosomal RNA is filed under the name uncultured organism. Its description in RNAcentral is "partial 16S ribosomal RNA". It matches the Rfam family "Bacterial small subunit ribosomal RNA", at positions 331 to 799 of the family's 1533-position model. The record is from RNAcentral.
GUACACUCCUACGGGAGGCAGCAGUGGGGAAUAUUGGACAAUGGGCGCAAGCCUGAUCCAGCCAUGCCGCGUGAGUGAUGAAGGCCCUAGGGUUGUAAAGCUCUUUCACCGGUGAAGAUAAUGACGGUAACCGGAGAAGAAGCCCCGGCUAACUUCGUGCCAGCAGCCGCGGUAAUACGAAGGGGGCUAGCGUUGUUCGGAUUUACUGGGCGUAAAGCGCACGUAGGCGGACUAUUAAGUCAGGGGUGAAAUCCCGGGGCUCAACCCCGGAACUGCCUUUGAUACUGGUAGUCUUGAGUUCGAGAGAGGUGAGUGGAAUUCCGAGUGUAGAGGUGAAAUUCGUAGAUAUUCGGAGGAACACCAGUGGCGAAGGCGGCUCACUGGCUCGAUACUGACGCUGAGGUGCGAAAGCGUGGGGAGCAAACAGGAUUAGAUACCCUAGUAGUCCCAUG